This 253-nucleotide ribosomal RNA is filed under the name uncultured bacterium. RNAcentral's name for it is "partial 16S ribosomal RNA". It matches the Rfam family "Bacterial small subunit ribosomal RNA", at positions 524 to 776 of the family's 1533-position model. The record is from RNAcentral.
UACGUAGGGUGCAAGCGUUAAUCGGAAUUACUGGGCGUAAAGCGUGCGCAGGCGGUUUUGUAAGUCAGAUGUGAAAUCCCCGGGCUUAACCUGGGAACUGCGUUUGAAACUACAAGGCUAGAGUGUGGCAGAGGGGGGUGGAAUUCCAGGUGUAGCGGUGAAAUGCGUAGAUAUCUGGAGGAACACCGGUGGCGAAGGCGACAUCCUGGACCGGUAUUGACGCUGAGGCGCGAAAGCCAGGGGAGCAAACGGG